GACGAACGCUGGCGGCGUGCCUAAUACAUGCAAGUUGAGCGCUGAAGGUUGGUACUUGUACCAACUGGAUGAGCAGCGCACGGGUGAGUAACGCGUGGGGAAUCUGCCUUUGAGCGGGGGACAACAUUUGGAAACGAAUGCUAAUACCGCAUAAAAACUUUAAACACAAGUUUUAAGUUUGAAAGAUGCAAUUGCAUCACUCAAAGAUGAUCCCGCGUUGUAUUAGCUAGUUGGUGAGGUAAAGGCUCACCAAGGCGAUGAUACAUAGCCGACCUGAGAGGGUGGUCGGCCACAUUGGGACGGAGACACGGCCCAAACGCCUACGGGAGGCAGCCGGAGGGAAUCUUCAGCAAUGGGCGAAAGUCUGACCGAGCAACGCCGCGUGAGUGAAGAAGGUUGUCGGAUCGUAAAACUCGGUUGGUAGAGAAGAACGUUGGUGAGAGUGGAAAGCUCAUCAAGUGACGGUAACUACCCAGAAAGGGACGGCUAACUACGUG
RNAcentral lists this ribosomal RNA (497 nucleotides) under uncultured bacterium. RNAcentral describes it as "partial 16S ribosomal RNA". It matches the Rfam family "Bacterial small subunit ribosomal RNA", at positions 28 to 507 of the family's 1533-position model. The record is from RNAcentral.